RNAcentral lists this small RNA (299 nucleotides) under Pongo abelii (Sumatran orangutan). Its description in RNAcentral is "sense overlapping". The record is from RNAcentral. Lineage: Eukaryota; Metazoa; Chordata; Mammalia; Primates; Hominidae.
UCAGUGAACUGAGCAGCUGGGCUGUGCCGACAGGUUCGUGUGGGGCUCCUGGGCCUCCUGCAGCCGCGUGAUCCGCCAGCCUUGACCUCCCAAAGUGCGGGGAUUACAGGCAUGAGCCACCGCGCCUGGCCUAUAGUCAGUUCUUGAGAGGGGUUGCUAUUGCCAUAUGGCAACUGUGGUAACCCUCUCUCCUAGACCUGCCUAGAUCCGAAAGCCAGCCCUGGAAGGAAUACCUCUCAUUCUCAAGAAGAAGUUAAUGUCUGCCUUAUAGUAGAUGUCCAAUACAUCUUUGAACAAUU